RNAcentral lists this transfer RNA (63 nucleotides) under Bragasellus peltatus. Its description in RNAcentral is "transfert RNA-N(AAC)". The record is from RNAcentral. Lineage: Eukaryota; Metazoa; Arthropoda; Malacostraca; Isopoda; Asellidae.
AGAAGAAAAACCAAAAUAGAGGUGAGUUUUUGUUAAAAAUUUUAUUGGAGUUUCCUUCUUCUA